This 600-nucleotide ribosomal RNA is filed under the name Shigella flexneri. Its description in RNAcentral is "partial 23S ribosomal RNA". It matches the Rfam family "Bacterial large subunit ribosomal RNA", at positions 2238 to 2833 of the family's 2925-position model. Lineage: Bacteria; Pseudomonadati; Pseudomonadota; Gammaproteobacteria; Enterobacterales; Enterobacteriaceae. The record is from RNAcentral.
AUCCGGGUUGCGGACAGUGUCUGGUGGGUAGUUUGACUGGGGCGGUCUCCUCCUAAAGAGUAACGGAGGAGCACGAAGGUUGGCUAAUCCUGGUCGGACAUCAGGAGGUUAGUGCAAUGGCAUAAGCCAGCUUGACUGCGAGCGUGACGGCGCGAGCAGGUGCGAAAGCAGGUCAUAGUGAUCCGGUGGUUCUGAAUGGAAGGGCCAUCGCUCAACGGAUAAAAGGUACUCCGGGGAUAACAGGCUGAUACCGCCCAAGAGUUCAUAUCGACGGCGGUGUUUGGCACCUCGAUGUCGGCUCAUCACAUCCUGGGGCUGAAGUAGGUCCCAAGGGUAUGGCUGUUCGCCAUUUAAAGUGGUACGCGAGCUGGGUUUAGAACGUCGUGAGACAGUUCGGUCCCUAUCUGCCGUGGGCGCUGGAGAACUGAGGGGGGCUGCUCCUAGUACGAGAGGACCGGAGUGGACGCAUCACUGGUGUUCGGGUUGUCAUGCCAAUGGCACUGCCCGGUAGCUAAAUGCGGAAGAGAUAAGUGCUGAAAGCAUCUAAGCACGAAACUUGCCCCGAGAUGAGUUCUCCCUGACCCUUUAAGGGUCCUGAAG